Long non-coding RNA from Melopsittacus undulatus (budgerigar), 900 nucleotides. RefSeq lists it as uncharacterized. NCBI's taxonomy places the organism in Eukaryota, Metazoa, Chordata, Aves, Psittaciformes, Psittaculidae. The record is from RefSeq and is a predicted model, not a curated record. The transcript has 3 exons.
UUCUUUACCUCCAGUAGUCCACUCUCUUAAGUCUUUGCUAAUACAACUUGGAAUAAGUACAUGUCUGUCUUUAGGGCUUAUAUGAAUAAGGUCUGACAUCCCUUAGGGCAUGAAAGUGCCAGCUGGACAACAGGAAGAAAACAAAAGACCUGGAGAUCAAAAUGACUUGAGCAGAAUCACACAACAGUGACCAGUGCUUCAACGUCCUACUCAUUAGACCUGGACAGAUAUUUCAAGGUGCCAGGAUGACCUGAGCAAGACUGGAUACAAGAAGUGCAGAGGGAUUUUUGGCUGAGAAGUGACUCAGUGAUGCUGGUGAGUGUAGUAUGGAGAUGCCAACCUGGCUUUGCCAUCUGAGGGUCAGGCUGCAAUGCAGUGCAAAGAGCACCCUAAAAGUGAUUCUGCCACAGCCAGGUUCAUGCUGGUACCUCUAUAUGCAGCUCUGUAGUGAUGCUGCCAGCUCAGAUCAGAAUCAGCCUGAGGAUCACCGCACAACAACUUGUUGGGCAGUGAAGACAUAAGCAGUUUUCCUGUUGGCUUUCAAAAGGAAAAUACAAAUUGCUGACUUUUCAGACCUGUUUCUUGUUCAGCAUUGGAGCUCCUCUUCUGCAGAUUGACAGUCCCACUAGCAGAAAGAACAGAGUCAUGAGGCAUCCCUGGUGAAGGACAUGUGGUGCUACUAUCCUUAGGAAUUCACCACUUUUCAGAUGGCAACUGUUACAUGCUCCAGGGGAAUGAAACAUCCAGACACACAAGGGAUCUUCCUACCUCAAGGCUCUUCACAAAAUGUUUCCAAAGAAGAGAGGUCAUCCUGACCAUCAAAAAGACAUAGAUUUUCUUUGUGAUGGGAUACAAGAAGCCAGGAGAGAGCAGAGCCAGGACAGCUGACCCAAACUAGCC